RNAcentral lists this long non-coding RNA (273 nucleotides) under Lathyrus oleraceus (garden pea). RNAcentral's name for it is "Pisum sativum (pea) long non-coding RNA (PSAT_LNC009432)". Lineage: Eukaryota; Viridiplantae; Streptophyta; Magnoliopsida; Fabales; Fabaceae. The record is from RNAcentral.
UAGUGAGGUCGGUCGAGUGAUGACAUUUGUGAGAAUAUUAUGUUGGGGUAAAAAGGAAAUUGGUUUUGUGGUAUUUGGAAGUUGAUGUUUGUUUGUUGGAUGUUUUGUAAUGUGUAUGAUGGGUUUGGGGCUCGUGUUUAUUGGUGGGAAGAUUGAUAAAAAAAUCUUAUGAUUGUUGUUGGUAGUAUAGGGUAUUCUCUUGGUUUUAUGAUUGGGUGUAUGACGUGUAUUAGUUUUUGGGUUUGGGUAUUUAUGGUUUGUUGUUGGUUUUGU